RNAcentral lists this ribosomal RNA (253 nucleotides) under uncultured bacterium. RNAcentral's name for it is "partial 16S ribosomal RNA". It matches the Rfam family "Bacterial small subunit ribosomal RNA", at positions 524 to 776 of the family's 1533-position model. The record is from RNAcentral.
UACGAAGGGGGCUAGCGUUGUUCGGAAUUACUGGGCGUAAAGCGCGCGCAGGCGGUCUUCCAAGUCAGUGGUGAAAGCCCGGAGCUCAACUCCGGAAUUGCCAUUGAAACUGUUGGACUUGAGGAUGAGAGAGGUGAGUGGAAUUCCCAGUGUAGAGGUGAAAUUCGUAGAUAUCAGGAGGAACACCUGUGGCGAAAGCGGCUCACUGGACCAUAACUGACGCUGAUGCACGAAAGCUAGGGGAGCAAACAGG